UUGGAGGGCAAGUCUGGUGCCAGCAGCCGCGGUAAUUCCAGCUCCAAUAGCGUAUAUUGAAGUUGUUGCAGUUAAAAAGCUCGUAGUUGAAUUUCGGGGUCAAUAGGUUGGUCGUGCCAAUGGUAUGUACUGGCUUUAUUGAUUCCUACCUCUUGACGAACUGUGAUGCCAUUAAUUUGGUGUUGCAGGAAAUCAGGACUGUUACCUUGAAAAAAUUAGAGUGUCUAAAGCAGGCUUACGCUUGAAUACAUUAGCAUGGAAUAAUGAAAUAGGACGUUUGAACCUAUUUUGUUGGUUUCUAGAAUCGACGUAAUGAUUAAUAGGGAUAGUUGGGGGCAUUAGUAUUCAAUUGUCAGAGGUGAAAUUCUUGGAUUUAUUGAAGACUAACUACUGCGAAAGCAUUUGCCAAGGAUGUUUUCACUAAUCAAGAACGAAAGUUAGGGGAUCGAAGACGAUCAGAUACCGUCGUAGUCUUAACCAUAAACUAUGCCGACUAGGGAUCGGAUGAUGUUAAUUUUUUAAUGACUCAUUCGGCGCCUUACGGGAAACCAAAGUGUUUGGGUUC
Molecule: ribosomal RNA, 565 nt
Filed under: uncultured Glomeromycotina
Lineage: Eukaryota; Fungi; Glomeromycota
Description: SSU rRNA
Rfam family: Eukaryotic small subunit ribosomal RNA
Source: RNAcentral